Molecule: transfer RNA, 75 nt
Organism: Pan troglodytes (chimpanzee)
Lineage: Eukaryota; Metazoa; Chordata; Mammalia; Primates; Hominidae
Rfam family: tRNA
About the family: Transfer RNA (tRNA) molecules are approximately 80 nucleotides in length. Their secondary structure includes four short double-helical elements and three loops (D, anti-codon, and T loops). Further hydrogen bonds mediate the characteristic L-shaped molecular structure. tRNAs have two regions of fundamental functional importance: the anti-codon, which is responsible for specific mRNA codon recognition, and the 3' end, to which the tRNAs corresponding amino acid is attached (by aminoacyl-tRNA synthetases). tRNAs cope with the degeneracy of the genetic code in two manners: having more than one tRNA (with a specific anti-codon) for a particular amino acid; and 'wobble' base-pairing, i.e. permitting non-standard base-pairing at the 3rd anti-codon position.
Source: Rfam
GGCUUCGUGGCUUAGCUGGUUAAAGCGCCUGUCUAGUAAACAGGAUGAUCCUGGGUUCGAAUCCCAGCGAGGCCU